CCUACGGGAGGCUGCAGUGAGGAAUAUUGGUCAAUGGGCGCAAGCCUGAACCAGCCAUCCCGCGUGAAGGAUGAAGGUCCUAUGGAUUGUAAACUUCUUUUAUACACCAAGAAAAACACCCACGUGUGGGUGCCCGACGGUAGUGUAUGAAUAAGCAUCGGCUAACUCCGUGCCAGCAGCCGCGGUAAUACGGAGGAUGCAAGCGUUAUCCGGAUUCAUUGGGUUUAAAGGGUGCGUAGGCGGCUUUUUAAGUCAGUGGUGAAAUCUUGCCGCUUAACGGUAAAAUUGCCAUUGAUACUGAUAAGCUUGAGUACAAUUGAGGUAAGCGGAAUGUGUAGUGUAGCGGUGAAAUGCUUAGAUAUUACACAGAACACCGAUUGCGAAGGCAGCUUACUAAACUGUUACUGACGCUGAUGCACGAAAGCGUGGGGAGCAAACAGGAUUAGAUACCCCGGUAGUC
Molecule: ribosomal RNA, 460 nt
Filed under: Weissella confusa
Lineage: Bacteria; Bacillati; Bacillota; Bacilli; Lactobacillales; Lactobacillaceae
Description: bacterial SSU rRNA
Rfam family: Bacterial small subunit ribosomal RNA
Source: RNAcentral